This 401-nucleotide ribosomal RNA is filed under the name uncultured bacterium. Its description in RNAcentral is "bacterial SSU rRNA". It matches the Rfam family "Bacterial small subunit ribosomal RNA", at positions 28 to 431 of the family's 1533-position model. The record is from RNAcentral.
AUUGAACGCUGGCGGCAUGCUUUACACAUGCAAGUCGAACGGCAGCGGGGGCUUCGGCCUGCCGGCGAGUGGCGAACGGGUGAGUAAUGCAUCGGAACGUGCCCAUGUCGUGGGGGAUAACGUAGCGAAAGCUACGCUAAUACCGCAUACGUCCUGAAGGGNGAAAGCGGGGGAUCUUUGGACCUCGCGCGAUUGGAGCGGCCGAUGUCGGAUUAGCUAGUAGGUGAGGUAAAGGCUCACCUAGGCGACGAUCCGUAGCGGGUCUGAGAGGAUGAUCCGCCACACUGGGACUGAGACACGGCCCAGACUCCUACGGGAGGCAGCAGUGGGGAAUUUUGGACAAUGGGGGCAACCCUGAUCCAGCCAUGCCGCGUGAGUGAAGAAGGCCUCGGUUGUAAGAC